ACGCUCGACACCUACGGGAGCAGCAGUGGGGAAUAUUGCACGAAUGGGGGAAACCCUGAUGCAGCGACGCCGCGUGAAGGAAGAAGUAUUUCGGUAUGUAAACUUCUAUCAGCAGGGAAGAAGAAAGUGACGGUACCUGACUAAGAAGCCCCGGCUAACUACGUGCCAGCAGCCGCGGUAAUCUGAGCGGGCUGGCAAGGC
RNAcentral lists this ribosomal RNA (201 nucleotides) under uncultured bacterium. RNAcentral describes it as "partial 16S ribosomal RNA". It matches the Rfam family "Bacterial small subunit ribosomal RNA", at positions 328 to 539 of the family's 1533-position model. The record is from RNAcentral.